CUGCACAAACAGCUGUGCUCCCAGUGACCUCAUACCUGCGCCCGCAUGGAACAUGCUGCAUGCUCUCACCUUGCCCAGGUAAGUGCAGACGGACGAAAAGAAAAGGUGGCCAUGUUCAACCUCAGUAUGUGUAUGUGUGUGCCUUCCUCAAGGACAAAUAUGUCCAUACUGCCUUCCUGUUUAGCACUUUAUUUGUUUCAACUUUCUGUCUUUCUUUUUGAUUUUCAAGGAGUAUUAUUUUAGGACAAUUGAGUUGACUUCCGAAAUGCACUGCAUUUUUAAACUUCUUAUACCUCCCAGAACAGGGACAAGCAACAGGAUUUGGGAAAAGUAUGUUAGAUGUAUCUUAUUUAGUUGAAACAUGCUCUCUUAUGUGGUGGCAAAGACCUUGUCUUCCCUCGCUGCAAACAUUCCAUUAAUUUACUAUGGACGUAUGGCUGUAGAACUGCUGCUCUGCAACAGAGGACAAGCCAACUGACCACACAUGGGUGGACUGACAACAUGGCACUAGAAAGCCAACAUGGACAAGGUCAUUUCCAUAGACUGUAUGCAGAGAUACAUCUCAGAUUCGGUAUGUCCAUCUCUUUCUC
Molecule: long non-coding RNA, 590 nt
Organism: Alosa sapidissima (American shad)
Lineage: Eukaryota; Metazoa; Chordata; Actinopteri; Clupeiformes; Clupeidae
Exons: 3
Source: RefSeq, a predicted model, not a curated record